RNAcentral lists this long non-coding RNA (1214 nucleotides) under Fukomys damarensis (Damara mole-rat). RNAcentral describes it as "lncRNA (ENSFDAG00000026798.1)". The record is from RNAcentral. Lineage: Eukaryota; Metazoa; Chordata; Mammalia; Rodentia; Bathyergidae.
CAUUAUUUCUGGACAGUCAGACGCUUGAUGGCUUUCUUUCCUUUUAAUGCCUUAUUAAAUUUUCCACAUUUCUGUUCUAAUCAUGCAGUGCCUGUGUAAUCAGUGGAAAUAGUAUGUACUGUAAGAAUUAGCUUUUUAUUAGAUUUUAAGAUCUGAACAAAGAUGAAAUGCAGUUUAGAUUUCACCUGGCCCCAGCAUGGGCUGCUUUAUUGUCACCCAAGUGAAGUCCUAAAGCGAAACCAGAGUCUGGAUGUGACCGGCACUAACCUGCUCCUCAGAGGCGACCAGCCCAUGAUGGCGGAUUUCAUCACAAGGCGACUUGGCACUGAGCUACCAUUUGCUGGUCACAUCGGGCAAUCAUGUUGCUCUUACUACGCAGAAAUCCAAAUCUUUGUCCAAACUCAACCUCUUGAUUAACUUUCAUUUAAGUAGAUGUUUAUUUUUGAAAGGGUGAGUUUUCCUUCUUUUUUUUUUUUUCUUUCUUUGCAGCUGUCUUGGCGCUGUCUCAUUCCAGCUUGCAGAGGAAGCUUCUGAGUCAGAAAUGGGGUCAAGCCGUGUUUCUGGUGACGUUCCCAGAGCUCUGAGAAAGACGGACUCUCCUGGGACUUGAUGCCUGCUUCUGCAAACAGCUUGCAGAGAGCCACGAGAGAAGUGCAUCAGGAUUCUGCCAAAGCACUGGUGUAGCCCACCCUUGACCGUAUUUGAAAGACCCUUAGCACCCUCCAUAAACGAACAUUUCCAGAAAGCCUUGCUCAUGGGAAGAGGAAGCAUAAAAGACCGAGAAGGAAGCAGCCUGGGUUUGUGCUGAUGCCAGAAACUGUCUUUGAGGGACCAGAAGCCUGAGGUCUGCAGGGGAGGAAUGCUGACAGAUGCGCACAUUUGCUUGGGCGUAGGUAGCGGCCUGCAUCCCGGGAAGCGUGGCCCUGCUUUCAAAUGGGCUGCGUGUCAUAGAAGUGGAAGCCAGCUCUCAGAACAAGAGGCCACUGGAUCACGAAGCAGCUGUCUGGCAGCCCUUUUUCCUAUGCAGCAGCCGUCCCUGAGUUGUGACUGUCACCGCUCAGCAGUUUCUCAAGGCCUCGUUUAUUUGGCGCAAGAGACAGAGCAGUCCUGGCUCGGCUUGUCUCAGAAGGAGCGGAAUUUUCUGCAGAAGACAAGACAAUGGUAAAAGGAUGCCUGGAGCAGACACAUAGUUCCUGGGGGACCAGAAUAAAGGG